RNAcentral lists this ribosomal RNA (301 nucleotides) under uncultured bacterium. RNAcentral describes it as "partial 16S ribosomal RNA". It matches the Rfam family "Bacterial small subunit ribosomal RNA", at positions 509 to 807 of the family's 1533-position model. The record is from RNAcentral.
CAGUCGCCACGGUAAUACGAAGGUCCCGAGCGUUGUUCGGAAUCACUGGGCGUAAAGGGAGCGUAGGCGGCGUGGUAAGUCAGAUGUGAAAUCCCGGGGCUCAACCCCGGAACUGCAUCCGAUACUGCCAUGCUAGAGGAUUGGAGAGGUAGCUGGAAUUCUUGGUGUAGCAGUGAAAUGCGUGGAGAUCAAGAGGAACACUCGUGGCGAAAGCGAGCUACUGGACAAUAACUGACGCUGAGGCUCGAAGGCCAGGGUAGCGAAAGGGAUUAGAUACCCCAGUAGUCCCUGUCUCUUAUAC